GCAUAUCAAUAAGCGGAGGAAAAGAAACCAACAGGGAUUGCCUUCAGUAACGGCGAAGUGAAGCGGCAACAGCUCAAAUUUGAAAUCUGGCCCUUUCAGGGUCCGAGUUGUAAUUUGCAGAGGAUGCUUCGGGUACGGCCGCGGCGUAAGUCCCCUGGAACGGGGUGUCAUAGAGGGUGAGAAUCCCGUCUUCCGUCGCCGGUUCCGUGCCCGUGUGAAGCUCCUUCGACGAGUCGAGUUGUUUGGGAAUGCAGCUCUAAAUGGGUGGUAAAUUUCAUCUAAAGCUAAAUACUGGCUGGAGACCGAUAGCGCACAAGUAGAGUGAUCGAAAGGUUAAAAGCACCUUGAAAAGGGAGUUAAAUAGCACGUGAAAUUGUUGAAAGGGAAGCGCUUGCAACCAGACUCGGCCGCAGGGGUUCAACGGGUGCGUGUCACCCGUGCGCUCCCCUGCAGUCGGGCCAGCAUCAGUUUUGGCGGCCGGUCAAAGGCCCCUGGAAGGUGUCGCCUCUCGGGGCGUCUUAUAGCCAGGGGUGCAAUGCGGCCUGCCGGGACUGAGGAACGCGCUUCGGCACGGAUGCUGGCAUAAUGGUUGUAAGCGGCCCGUCUUGAAACACGGACCAAGGAGUCUAACAUCCACGCGAGUGUUCGGGUGUCAAACCCGUGCGCGCAGUGAAAGCGAACGGAGGUGAGAUCCCCUUUUGGGGCGCAUCAUCGACCGAUCCUGAAGUCUUCGGAUGGAUUUGAGUAAGAGCGUGGCUGUUGGGACCCGAAAGAUGGUGAACUAUGCCUGAAUAGGGUGAAGCCAGAGGAAACUCUGGUGGAGGCUCGCAGCGGUUUCUGACGUGCAAAUCGAUUCGUCAAAUUUGGGUAAUAAGGGGCGAAAGACUAAUCGAACCAUCUAGUAGCUGGUUCCUGCCGA
RNAcentral lists this ribosomal RNA (919 nucleotides) under Narasimhella hyalinospora. RNAcentral describes it as "LSU rRNA". It matches the Rfam family "Eukaryotic large subunit ribosomal RNA", at positions 38 to 964 of the family's 3401-position model. Lineage: Eukaryota; Fungi; Ascomycota; Eurotiomycetes; Onygenales; Gymnoascaceae. The record is from RNAcentral.